RNAcentral lists this ribosomal RNA (276 nucleotides) under uncultured bacterium. RNAcentral's name for it is "partial 16S ribosomal RNA". It matches the Rfam family "Bacterial small subunit ribosomal RNA", at positions 77 to 353 of the family's 1533-position model. The record is from RNAcentral.
CAAACUGGAGAUGGCGACCGGCGCACGGGUGAGUAACACGUAUCCAACCUGCCGAUAACUCGGGGAUAGCCUUUCGAAAGAAAGAUUAAUACCCGAUGGCAUAGUUCUUCCGCAUGGUGGAACUAUUAAAGAAUUUCGGUCAUCGAUGGGGAUGCGUUCCAUUAGGUUGUUGGCGGGGUAACGGCCCACCAAGCCUUCGAUGGAUAGGGGUUCUGAGAGGAAGGUCCCCCACAUUGGAACUGAGACACGGUCCAAACUCCUACGGGAGGCAGCAUG